GCCUCCCGGAUCAUGUCGAUCACCUCCAUCACCGACGACUCCAGCACCUUCUUGCUCGUCCCGGACAUCUUCACGGGGAAGAUGGAGUUGCCGUAGUACCCGGCGUCCAGCUUCAGCAGGUGGCGCACGCUGGCGAAGAAGCACAGCUUCACCGUGGCGUCCGGCUCCAGGUUCAGCGCCCGGGUACGGCACUGCCACAGCUUGGCCGUCAGCACGUCGAAGCCGGAGCAGAACUUGCCGCUGUGCGCCUUGUACUGCGUCUUGAGCCCGUCGAUGUAGCCCGUGGGGAAGUCGAGCACGAUGUAGUCCAGCGCCAGCACCGGGAGCUCCGGGAGAGGGCCCGGCUUGAUGCUCGGGUUGGGGAACUUCUCCCUGUCCCACACCGGCUUCACCGUCGGCUCCGGGAGCCCCCGGGCCAUGUCGCCGACCGCCUUGAUGAACUGCGCCGCGCCCAUGCCGUCCGCCGACGCGUGGUUGAACCGGAGGCCCAUCACGAACCCGCCGCAUGUGAAUUUCGUGAUCUGGAACCAUGUGAUACAAGUUACAAAUGUCAGCACUGGAUCUGCUCUAGUACCAAACUGUUGUCAAAAAAAGCUUUUAAGUGAACCAUUCCCCCGUUUCAUACUCCUAUUUGUUUAACUAACAUCCGGUGGAUGCUCCCAUGAUUUCCGUGGGCUGUCCUCAUGCUUUUAAAAUGAACUGACAAUCAUGGGCACUUUGUGCCGAACCAUGCAUGCCACGGCGCGGGCAACAGGGAUGCACGAACGAAACACCAAAAGAAAGCUUGGCGAGCUGUCUCCAUGCUCGACGAAGAUCGAUCCUCUCCAUUCCACCAGCACCUGUCGGUGGGCAACAACAGCAAAAGCAGGGGAAUGGAUGGGCUCUCCAACGAAAACCCUUGGCUUCGAAGCGAACACAUAAGUACAUACAUUCAGACACACACCACCUAAUCUUAUCUGGCAAGGACGGCACCUGCAGGCAUAACCUGGCAGUACAUCUCCGGCUGUCACCGCAUAACAAUAACAAUAAUUAAGCUGCAAGCCUGAAACCAGCCCCGAUUAUUUAAGACAAGAAGAUGAAGCGAGAUCGCCAUCAUCCCUAGGGUCAAAGCUCAGUACGCCCGGUGGUCAAAAUUCGGCAGCUCCGGUCUCUCGUCCCAUGGCGAUCACUUUCAUCACCGGAAUGAUGGACGGAAUCCUCCGGUGCGUGGCGUACGUACCUACUGCGCACGCGAGUGCGGUUCUACCGAACCACCCGUAACCCGCUGGACACCACCACCGUACCAUCUUCCCCACCCAUAAAAGUCGCGAUUGGUCGCACGUACCGUCGCAGGCAGCGGCGGCAUUACGCAUACACAACCCGCAACAGAACAAAAUUGCAGUGACGCAGUGGCGACACCUCGCCUGAAACGCCAGGAGAACGCCUGGAUUUCACGAGCUCGCCCCGCCGGCGGCCGCCAUUCCUAUCGGUUCCUGGCAGCACCGGCGACGGGACCAUUCAGCCUACUUCCAAUGGCGUCACAGUGAAGAAGCACGUCAAGCACGAAAGUGGAAACCAUGCCGUUGCUAAUCACGGCAGUACGGUUCACACUGCGCAGACACGCAUCACGAGCUCUCUGCUUCAUCACUCGGGGUAACUCCGGCCACGUCUAACUCCGGGUAGCCGUUAACCGCUCCAGGCGACGUCGUAAUCGCUUUUUACGAAGACCGGUGACGGGCUGACGCCGGCGGGGCCCACGUGACAGCCUCCUCGACCGACACCGUCAACAAAUCGUCUCCACCCGUCACUACCCACCCAUGACGCGUCGAAGGGGAAAAAUGGGAGAAGCUUCCCACCACGACGCCAUCCAUCCAUCCAUCCAUCCAUCAGCUGGCUGGCCGGCCAUCUUCUGACCUGUCGGCUGUCGCCCCUGCUCCCCAGAUCUACCCCCGCGCGCACGGAUCUACCUCUCUCUACUCUCCCCGGAUCGAUGCGCCGGCGACUGAUUUAGCUUAAGAAUCACGGUGGCCGGCCGGCCGGCCGCCGGUAGCGUCACUGAUGUGGAGCAUGUAUAUGUACCUGCAUCAUCAUGAUGGUGUUGUGGGGCUCGACGGCCCAGAGAUCGGCGGCGGGGUAGGGGACGAGGUCCUCCUUGGGGAGCAGCAGGGGGCGCUCCAGGAACCGGACGUCCUCCAGGCUGCACUCGGCGACGGCCUCCGCGAAGUAGACGCCGUCGGCGGUGCAGCGGAUGGCGGGGCACCCCUUCUCCGGCUGCUCCACGAUGCGCCCCGCCAGCGGGUAGAAGAAGGCCAGCG
Molecule: long non-coding RNA, 2294 nt
Filed under: Hordeum vulgare
Lineage: Eukaryota; Viridiplantae; Streptophyta; Magnoliopsida; Poales; Poaceae
Description: long non-coding RNA (HVUL_LNC006539)
Source: RNAcentral